UACCAGCCCCCUGAGUGAUAGGGACGAUUAUUUAGCCUAAAGCGUCCGUAGCCGGCUUAUCAAGUCUUUUGUUUGAUCUAACGACUUAAUCGUUAGGCCGCAGAAGAUACUGCUAGGCUAGAGGGCGGAAGAGGUUGACGGUAGUCCCGGGGUAGGGGUGAAAUCCUAUAAUCCCGGGAGGACCACCAGUGGCGAAGGCGGUCAACUAGUACGCCCCUGACGGUGAGGGACGAAAGCUGGGGGAGCGAACCGGAUUAGACACCCGGGUAGUCCCAGCUGUAAACGAUGCGGGCUAGGUGUUGGGGUGGCUACGUGCCACUUCAGUGCCGCAGGGAAGCCAUUAAGCCCGCCGCCUGGGGAGUACGGCCGCAAGGCUGAAACUUAAAGGAAUUGGCGGGGAGCACCACAAGGCGUGAAGCUUGCGGUUC
RNAcentral lists this ribosomal RNA (428 nucleotides) under uncultured archaeon. RNAcentral describes it as "bacterial SSU rRNA". It matches the Rfam family "Archaeal small subunit ribosomal RNA", at positions 474 to 903 of the family's 1478-position model. The record is from RNAcentral.